UUCUGUGGGGACCUCCCUGGAAAUAGCAAUCCCCAAAAGGGGUUGUUCUUUCCUCGGGUAUGUAGUGGGAGAAGGAGACGUCCUUCGUUAUUACCACCAAUCAUAUCCCGAUUGGUCGAUGAGCUAUAUUAAUAACUCAUUGAUCAUAGGGUGGUUGAGCCAUGUGACUGAGGAAAAUAGUAGGAAACCUUGUUUCUUGCCCACAGUUGGGUUAUUGAGGUUCUCUCAAUCUUAGACUGAUUGAACUUCUGACCAAGAAUGUCCAUCGUCAAUCUGAGAGAAGGAAGAAAUUCCUUUGAUCUAUUCGGUGCUGGACUGUUGGCUAAUGAGAUCCCAUAUUUGCCUAAAAGGGCUUGUAUGGUAUCAAAUUGUCCGACAAUUCUUUGGUUCUCGAUACUUCUUUGUUGGAGGUAUGAGAUAUCCUUCUUUGGUCAGCCGAUUAGGUUACUAUAGAUCUUGGUUACUCUUUCCGUUGUCCUACUACUACAUAGUGUGGUUGGACUGCGAGUUUGAAUCCCGCAGAGUGACCUUCCCUUUAUGAUCACACCUUGCUUGGUGAUGAUAUCCUAAUCACCAAUAAGCAAGUGGCUCUUUCAGUACAGAAAAGUUACUGGAUAGACUCAGCGUUUGGACUUCUGAUUCAAAGUCACACAUCAGAAUAAGAAUGCUGGGUUUGCCAAAGGGAUGUUGGGGUAAAAUCCCAUCAUAUCACUGAGGCGAAUACUGUCCUGUAGGACAGCCUUUAAUCUGUGCCCUUUAACUGAUGAAUACCUGAUCGUAAUAGGUAUUUAGGAGUUAGUAGGGCUAGGAUUAAAGUCUUGUUCUCAUCUUCUCUCCAACCAUUUGGUAGGAUUGAGGAUGACUGUUAGUAAGCUUAACCGGUCACGUCCACUACCUUCAUAUAUUUGAUUGGAAGGAAAAAAAACCUCAAUCUAUGUUUGAAGGGAAAGAUAGUGGAUUUCUUCGAAGGAUAAAACCCAAGGAGAUACAUCUCUUUCUGUAGAUAUAGUGUUUAAUAGGGAUGGGCAUCAUUGGUCCCACUGUAACUCGUAAUGGGUGAGUAGUUCCAUAUGAUUUUUAGUACUAUACGGUUGUGUUCUCAAUCAAAGGUAUCUAUUAUCAUUUGAUGGAUGUGCCGUAUAUAGCACACUUGAAGGGUCCAACAAAGAUCUUGGUUUGAUCAAGUUCGGGCCUGAUCGAGACGUGUUAUAAUGUGGAAUCAGUGUGGGAUUGACGAUUACACCAAGGUACUCGGAAAUCUCUCACUGUCAUCCUCUUUGAUAAUGCAUAUUUGAAGGUUAUUCAAGAGGCAUCAGUAGACUUACCAUCUUCUGGUGAAAAGACGUAGUCUAUAAAGGAGCAAGCCAUAAGGACUCUGUAGAUCGCGAGAAUGCAUGUUCUAAUACUUGCACGGGCUCAUUUGCUUCCAACAAUCCAACAAAGUGAGUUUCACAGAAGGAAGGUGUAACACUCCGUAUUCAAGUACGUGUAUAGGCGUAUUCAAGUACGUGUAUUGGUCUUAUUUAUAUGGAAUUUAUUUUAUUUUAUUUUAUUUAUACUGGCACUCUACUCUCCAAUAGACGUUUCCUCACCUAGUCCCGGAGACCUAACCUCAAGGCUUAGAAAGAAUAAAGAUCGGGGAACCUGCUAGCGCAGAGAAUCAAUGCGCCAAAGCUAUCGGCGCUGACCGCGUCCAUCUUAUCUUCUACGGGGUAGGUAGAGAGGCUUUUGCUACAGCCGAUGGUCUUCGCCUUCGGUGACUUCUCCUGGAGGAUGGUCAAGUAAAAGUAGCCGCUCAACACUCACGAGGGAGAUAGCCUACGCUAAUCACGCACCUCCAAAGAGGCAUCGAGACUGACCCGUUGAUGAAGCCCGGAAUAAAGAGACUUCUCACUCCUGUUAGUGAGAGAGUGGUCACAGUUCGUCACCUCGGGGGCUUCUCUGAAAGAGAGGGUAAGGAUUAAGGCUAGGUUAGGUCUACUCCACAAGAGCAAUCAGAAAUAAAGGACAGAGAGUCCCCUGUGAAGAUUUAUAGGCCAGGGUAAAGAUAGAUCGAAAUUCGCGCUCGGGUGUGAAUUGGUAGCUCACAAUCUAUGAAUUCACAUCGCCAGAAGGCUUAUAAAGGAUAGACAAUUCCUUGGGUGACCGGGGGGCUCUCGAUAAGAGCACAACCUUUCGCCUCGACGAGGCUAGGCCAGAGUGGAAGCUCUCCGGAUAAAGUGCUGACCGCAAUCAGGGAGUUCCUACGCUUAACCAGAUUAUUAGUCUUGGAAAAACUCCUCGUCUGCACCUCCCAUAGAUAAUGCGACAUCGGUCGAGGUCGGUGGGAACAAUCAAUUUCCUUGCACAGUGACUCAUACAUGCUUUAUUUAAUUGUAAAUUUGGCGUCCGGGCUGCCCAGUUGGACUAUGUCAGACAAGUCCUGAGAGUCCGGUGUUCCGGGUUGUGCACAAGAGGGCUGGGGAUCAUUCUCAACAAUCGGCGGCUCUUGGAGAAGGGGCACCCGACUCACUCAUAACCUCAUUAGCAGGAUCGAUUUGUUGACGUUUUGCAGCAGGCUCGCAUGAGGGACCGUCUGACCUUGCUCGUUUCCUGAACAAUGCCCGACGGCAAACACAAUAAAAGGAUAAGGAUAAGGCAAGACAACAGACCAGAGCAGUAGACCCGGCAUAACAAAGAAGGUUUUCCAUUAUUUAACUAGUUUAAACUAGGUACGACCAGCGCGGUUGUUCAUCUUUCAUUUUAUUAUUCCAAACCAAGGGAAUUCUGUGGGGACCUCCCUGGAAAUAGCAAUCCCCAAAAGGGGUUGUUCUUUCCUCGGGUAUGUAGUGGGAGAAGGAGACGUCCUUCGUUAUUACCACCAAUCAUAUCCCGAUUGGUCGAUGAGCUAUAUUAAUAACUCAUUGAUCAUAGGGUGGUUGAGCCAUGUGACUGAGGAAAAUAGUAGGAAACCUUGUUUCUUGCCCACAGUUGGGUUAUUGAGGUUCUCUCAAUCUUAGACUGAUUGAACUUCUGACCAAGAAUGUCCAUCGUCAAUCUGAGAGAAGGAAGAAAUUCCUUUGAUCUAUUCGGUGCUGGACUGUUGGCUAAUGAGAUCCCAUAUUUGCCUAAAAGGGCUUGUAUGGUAUCAAAUUGUCCGACAAUUCUUUGGUUCUCGAUACUUCUUUGUUGGAGGUAUGAGAUAUCCUUCUUUGGUCAGCCGAUUAGGUUACUAUAGAUCUUGGUUACUCUUUCCGUUGUCCUACUACUACAUAGUGUGGUUGGACUGCGAGUUUGAAUCCCGCAGAGUGACCUUCCCUUUAUGAUCACACCUUGCUUGGUGAUGAUAUCCUAAUCACCAAUAAGCAAGUGGCUCUUUCAGUACAGAAAAGUUACUGGAUAGACUCAGCGUUUGGACUUCUGAUUCAAAGUCACACAUCAGAAUAAGAAUGCUGGGUUUGCCAAAGGGAUGUUGGGGUAAAAUCCCAUCAUAUCACUGAGGCGAAUACUGUCCUGUAGGACAGCCUUUAAUCUGUGCCCUUUAACUGAUGAAUACCUGAUCGUAAUAGGUAUUUAGGAGUUAGUAGGGCUAGGAUUAAAGUCUUGUUCUCAUCUUCUCUCCAACCAUUUGGUAGGAUUGAGGAUGACUGUUAGUAAGCUUAACCGGUCACGUCCACUACCUUCAUAUAUUUGAUUGGAAGGAAAAAAAACCUCAAUCUGUGUUUGAAGGGAAAGAUAGUGGAUUUCUCCGAAGGAUAAAACCCAAGGAGAUACAUCUCUUUCUGUAGAGAUGGUGUUUAAUAGGGAUGGGCAUCAUUGGUCCCACUGUAACCCGUAAUGGGUGAGUAGUUCCAUAUGAUGUUUAGUACUAUACGGUUGUGUGCUCAAUCAAAGGUAUCUAUUAUCAUUUGAUGGAUGUGCCGUAUAUAGCACACUUGAAGGGUCCAACAAAGAUCUUGGUUUGAUCAAGUUCGGGCCUGAUCGAGACGUGUUAUAAUGUGGAAUCAGUGUGGGAUUGACGAUUACACCAAGGUACUCGGAAAUCUCUCACUGUCAUCCUCUUUGAUAAUGCAUAUUUGAAGGUUAUUCAAGAGGCAUCAGUAGACUUACCAUCUUCUGGUGAAAAGACGUAGUCUAUAAAGGAGCAAGCCAUAAGGACUCUGUAGAUCGCGAGAAUGCAUGUUCUAAUGCUUGCACGGGCUCAUCUGCUUCCAACAAUCCAACAAAGUGAGUUUCACAGAAGGAAGGCUGGUUUGUCAAUGCUUGAACUGAUUGAUCUAAGUGAGCUACGAGGUUAGUCUUCUAAGAUCAACUUGCUUCAAAGUGCCCAAACAUUAUUUGUUAAUUGAAGGAAUGAUCCUAUCAGUGAUUAUGUACUAGGCUUAUCUAAUGAAUUGAGUCUUCCAAGAAAGGUUUCUAAUGAAUCUGCUAAUUGAGGUUCUAGAUUCGUUCAAAAGGCAGAAAGGAAUAGGCUAAGGGCCGUACCUUAAUGAUCCCUAACCAUAUUGAUGUUCCUGAGUUCUAGUCUUUCUGGUAGCCAAUGAUCUAAGGGAGCUAGCAGUGCAAAGAUACUCAAAAGUGGUACGCGCACAUAAAAAGCGGUUGGACGGUGUCUUUCUCUGUUUUGUUCCUUCCUCGGCAAGCUUGGGAGUUUCCUGAUGUAAGCUCCCUGGGUACGGUUUCGGAGUUUAUGUAAAUGCCCUAUCUUCAAAGGGAGCUGCUGACUUAAGGUAUCCCCUGAUCCGAGGGUGAGCUAGAAUUUCGUAUGGUGAAGAGGAAAGGAAGAAGUCAUUGUAAAGGAAGACGACAUUGACCAUUUCCGCUGCCUGCCUAAAGGCUUAUUGGUAGCUCUUAGGUUCUCUGUCAGUAGAGUGAUUGCCAAAACCUAGGUAUGUUUUCGGAGAAUAAUAAGAAGAGACGGUUGUAGCUUUUAGAGACUAUCCUCUGCAGCUGUAGCUACGUGGAAGCCAGCUGCUUAAAGACAAGCCCCCUAACCAUUCCGCUAUUCAUGCCCUAAAGCAAGGGAAUCCGCUCUGACCCACCACUAUGGUAGGAAUUGCCAGAUUUACAGUUUAUGAAUCCUUGUAAUACAAGUUCUUUCCUCUAACGAUGGCUACUUCCUAUUCAAGUGCCACUUAUCUUAACACAACUCGGGCUAAUCGACUCCCAGCCUAGCUAGACCUGGUGAAAGCAAUCAAGCCAAAGCAAGACUGAUUCCUUCAACGGUAAGAGCUGCAGAUGAAAUAGCAGUGGUUAUGCCGACAUUUUCCGUUAUCUUAUCGUUGGAUUACCGGAUUCCAUUCUUUCGGUU
RNAcentral lists this long non-coding RNA (5290 nucleotides) under Capsicum annuum. RNAcentral describes it as "long non-coding RNA (CANN_LNC003695)". Lineage: Eukaryota; Viridiplantae; Streptophyta; Magnoliopsida; Solanales; Solanaceae. The record is from RNAcentral.